GCUGGCGGAAUGCUUUACACAUGCAAGUCGAGCGGCAGCGCGGGGCAACCUGGCGGCGAGCGGCGAACGGGUGAGUAAUGCAUCGGAACGUGUCCAUGUCGUGGGGGAUAGCCCGGCGAAAGCCGGAUUAAUACCGCAUACGCCCGAGAGGGGAAAGUGGGGGACCGCAAGGCCUCACGCGAUUGGAUCGGCCGAUGUCCGAUUAGCUAGUUGGCGGGGUAAAGGCCCACCAAGGCGAUGAUCGGUAGCUGGUCUGAGAGGAUGAUCAGCCACACUGGGACUGAGACACGGCCCAGACUCCUACGGGAGGCAGCAGUGGGGAAUUUUGGACAAUGGGGGCAACCCUGAUCCAGCCAUUCCGCGUGAGUGAAGAAGGCCUUCGGGUUGUAAAGCUCUUUUGUCCGGAACGAAACGGGUAGCGUGAAUAUCGCUGCC
Molecule: ribosomal RNA, 435 nt
Filed under: uncultured soil bacterium
Lineage: Bacteria
Description: bacterial SSU rRNA
Rfam family: Bacterial small subunit ribosomal RNA
Source: RNAcentral